CAAGACACCACUGUAUUGUUAUUGCGGUAGACGGCAGGGUAGCCUAGUGGUUAGAGUGUAGAGGCGGCAGGGUAGCCUAGUGGUUAGAGUGUAGAGGCGGCAGGGUAGCCUAGUGGUUAGAGCGUUGGACUAGUAACCAGCAGGUAGCCUAGUGGUUAGAGCGUUGGACUAGUAACCAGCAGGUAGCCUAGUGGUUAGAGCGUUGGACUAGUAACCAGCAGGUAGCCUAGUGGUUAGAGCGUUGGACUAGUAACCAGCAGGUAGCCUAGUGGUUAGAGCGUUGGACUAGUAACCAGCAGGUAGCCUAGUGGUUAGAGCGUUGGACUAGUAACCAGCAGGUAGCCUAGUGGUUAGAGCGUUGUCCUAGUAACCAGCAGGUAGCCUAGUGGUUAGAGCGUUGUCCUAGUAACCAGCAGGUAGCCUAGUGGUUAGAGCGUUGGACUAGUAACCAGCAGGUAGCCUAGUGGUUAGAGCGUUGGACUAGUAACCGAAAGGUUGCAAGUUCGAAUCCCCGAGCUGACAAGGUACAAAUCUGUCGUUCUGCCCCUGAACAGGCAGUUAACCCACUGUUCCUAGGCCGUCAUUGAAAAUAAGAAUUUGUUCUUAACUGACUUGCCUAGUAAAAUAAAGGUAAAAAAAAGACUAUUGUUACCAGUGUAUGUACGCUGUUUGUAUGCCUGAAACCCGCUCUGCCAAGUAUUGUGUAAAAACAUUUUUUUUUUUUAAGUGAAAUUAUAGAUAUAGUGAGUUGAGUGAGUGAGUUGAGUUGAGUUGAGUUGAGUUGAGUUGAGUUGAGUUGAGUUGAGUUGAGUUGAGUUGAGUGAGUUGAGUGAGUUGAGUGAGUUGAGUGAGUGAGUGAGUGAGUGAGUGAGUGAGUGAGUGAGUGAGUGAGUGAGUGAGUGUGAGGGUGUAUGACACAGAUUCUUCUGGGGACGACAACUUGUGGGUGUGUCAUUUCUCCUCUUUCCCAGCAGGAAGUGUGCCAUAUUUAAAUGUUCACCCUCAAUUGGUUGUGUUGU
Long non-coding RNA from Oncorhynchus keta (chum salmon), 1019 nucleotides. RefSeq lists it as uncharacterized. The transcript is spliced from 3 exons. NCBI's taxonomy places the organism in Eukaryota, Metazoa, Chordata, Actinopteri, Salmoniformes, Salmonidae. The record is from RefSeq and is a predicted model, not a curated record.